GGGUUUUGACUGUGAUGGAGAAGCCAAAGCUAACACCAUUCAACUUGAUGAUGAAGCAUAAGCCAAAGCUAACACCGAAAGUGAUUUGGACGGUUGAAUUUGAUGAUUUAUUUAUUUAUAAACUGAAAAGGACUUUCUCUUCAUUAACUGAUGCACUCCUUAAGGACUCGUUCAGUUCGCGGAAAGAACUUUUCUUCUCAAAAAGUUAUAGCGAUUUGAAUG
Molecule: long non-coding RNA, 222 nt
Filed under: Elaeis guineensis (African oil palm)
Lineage: Eukaryota; Viridiplantae; Streptophyta; Magnoliopsida; Arecales; Arecaceae
Description: long non-coding RNA (EGUI_LNC006909)
Source: RNAcentral